GAUGAACGCUGACAGAAUGCUUAACACAUGCAAGUCAACUUGAACUUCGGUUUGGGUGGCGGACGGGUGAGUAACGCGUACAGAACUUGCCUCACAGAUAGGGACAACGUUUGGAAACGAAUGCUAAUACCUGAUAUUAUGAUUUUAGGGCAUCCUAGGAUUAUGAAAGCUAUAUGCGCUGUGAGAGAGCUUUGCGUCCCAUUAGCUAGUUGGAGAGGUAACGGCUCACCAAGGCGAUGAUGGGUAGCCGGCCUGAGAGGGUGAUCGGCCACAAGGGGACUGAGACACGGCCCUUACUCCUACGGGAGGCAGCAGUGGGGAAUAUUGGACAAUGGACCAAGAGUCUGAUCCAGCAAUUCUGUGUGCACGAUGAAGUUUUUCGGAAUGUAAAGUGCUUUCAGUUGGGAAGAAAAAAAUGACGGUACCAACAGAAGAAGUGACGGCUAAAUACGUG
RNAcentral lists this ribosomal RNA (454 nucleotides) under uncultured bacterium. Its description in RNAcentral is "partial 16S ribosomal RNA". It matches the Rfam family "Bacterial small subunit ribosomal RNA", at positions 28 to 507 of the family's 1533-position model. The record is from RNAcentral.